GUGGGGAAUAUUGCGCAAUGGGGGCAACCCUGACGCAGCAACGCCGCGUGAAGGAAGAAGGUCUUCGGAUCGUAAACUUUUGUCUUCAGGAACGAAAAUGACGGUACCUGAGGAGGAAGCCACGGCUAACUACGUGCCAGCAGCCGCGGUAAUACGUAGGUGGCAAGCGUUGUCCGGAUUUACUGGGUGUAAAGGGCGUGUAGGCGGGCUGAUAAGUCAGAUGUGAAAUACCGAGGCUUAACCUCGGGGCUGCAUUUGAAACUGUCAGUCUUGAGUGUCGGAGAGGUAAGCGGAAUUCCUAGUGUAGCGGUGAAAUGCGUAGAUAUUAGGAGGAACACCAGUGGCGAAGGCGGCUUACUGGACGAUAACUGACGCUGAGGCGCGAAAGCGUGGGUAGCAAACAGGAUUAGAAACCCGUGUAGUCC
This 425-nucleotide ribosomal RNA is filed under the name uncultured bacterium. RNAcentral's name for it is "bacterial SSU rRNA". It matches the Rfam family "Bacterial small subunit ribosomal RNA", at positions 354 to 796 of the family's 1533-position model. The record is from RNAcentral.